UACGUAGGUCCCGAGCGUUGUCCGGAUUUAUUGGGCGUAAAGCGAGCGCAGGUGGUUUAUUAAGUCUAGUGUAAAAGGCAGUGGCUCAACCAUUGUAUGCAUUGGAAACCGGUAGACUUGAGUGCAGGAGAGGAGAGUGGAAUUCCAUGUGUAGCGGUGAAAUGCGUAGAUAUAUGGAGGAACACCGGUGGCGAAAGCGGCUCUCUGGCCUGUAACUGACACUGAGGCUCGAAAGCGUGGGGAGCAAACAGG
Molecule: ribosomal RNA, 252 nt
Filed under: uncultured bacterium
Lineage: Bacteria
Description: partial 16S ribosomal RNA
Rfam family: Bacterial small subunit ribosomal RNA
Source: RNAcentral